This 253-nucleotide ribosomal RNA is filed under the name uncultured bacterium. RNAcentral's name for it is "partial 16S ribosomal RNA". It matches the Rfam family "Bacterial small subunit ribosomal RNA", at positions 524 to 776 of the family's 1533-position model. The record is from RNAcentral.
UACGAAGGGGGCUAGCGUUGUUCGGAAUUACUGGGCGUAAAGCGCACGUAGGCGGGUCGUUAAGUCAGGGGUGAAAUCCCGGAGCUCAACUCCGGAACUGCCUUUGAUACUGGAGAUCUGGAGAUCGGGAGAGGUGAGUGGAAUUCCGAGUGUAGAGGUGAAAUUCGUAGAUAUUCGGAGGAACACCAGUGGCGAAGGCGGCUCACUGGACCGUUGCUGACGCUGAGGCGCGAAAGCGUGGGGAGCAAACAGG